This 468-nucleotide ribosomal RNA is filed under the name uncultured bacterium. RNAcentral's name for it is "partial 16S ribosomal RNA". It matches the Rfam family "Bacterial small subunit ribosomal RNA", at positions 28 to 507 of the family's 1533-position model. The record is from RNAcentral.
GACGAACGCUGGCGGCGUGCUUAACACAUGCAAGUCGAACGGAAAGGCCCUGCUUUUGUGGGGUGCUCGAGUGGCGAACGGGUGAGUAACACGUGAGUAACCUGCCCUUGACUUUGGGAUAACUUCAGGAAACUGGGGCUAAUACCGGAUAGGAGCUCCUGCUGCAUGGUGGGGGUUGGAAAGUUUCGGCGGUUGGGGAUGGACUCGCGGCUUAUCAGCUUGUUGGUGGGGUAGUGGCUUACCAAGGCUUUGAUGGGUAGCCGGCCUGAGAGGGUGACCGGCCACAUUAGGACUGCGAUACGGCCCAGACUCCUACGGGAGGCAGCAGUGGGGAAUAUUGAACAAUGGGCGGAAGCCUGAUGCAGCAACGCCGCGUGCGGGAUGACGGCCUUCGGGUUGUAAACCGCUUUCGCCUGUGACGAAGCGUGAGUGACGGUAAUGGGUAAAGAAGCACCGGCUAACUACGUG